UACGGAGGGGGCUAGCGUUGUUCGGAAUUACUGGGCGUAAAGCGCACGUAGGCGGCUUUGCAAGUUAGAGGUGAAAGCCCGGAGCUCAACUCCGGAAUUGCCUUUAAAACUGCAUCGCUAGAAUUGUGGAGAGGUAAGUGGAAUUCCGAGUGUAGAGGUGAAAUUCGUAGAUAUUCGGAAGAACACCAGUGGCGAAGGCGACUUACUGGACAAAUAUUGACGCUGAGGUGCGAAAGCGGGGGGAGCAAACAGG
RNAcentral lists this ribosomal RNA (253 nucleotides) under uncultured bacterium. Its description in RNAcentral is "partial 16S ribosomal RNA". It matches the Rfam family "Bacterial small subunit ribosomal RNA", at positions 524 to 776 of the family's 1533-position model. The record is from RNAcentral.